RNAcentral lists this ribosomal RNA (467 nucleotides) under uncultured bacterium. RNAcentral describes it as "partial 16S ribosomal RNA". It matches the Rfam family "Bacterial small subunit ribosomal RNA", at positions 29 to 507 of the family's 1533-position model. The record is from RNAcentral.
ACGCACGCUGGCGGCGUGCUUAACACCUGCCAGUCGAACGGAAAGGCCCUGCUUUUGUGGGGUGCUCGAGUGGCGAACGGGUGAGUAACACGUGAGUAACCUGCCCUUGACUUUGGGAUAACUUCAGGAAACUGGGGCUAAUACCGGAUAGGAGCUCCUGCUGCAUGGUGGGGGUUGGAAAGUUUCGGCGGUUGGGGAUGGACUCGCGGCUUAUCAGCUUGUUGGUGGGGUAGUGGCUUACCAAGGCUUUGACGGGUAGCCGGCCUGAGAGGGUGACCGGGCACCAGGGGACUGAGAGAGGCCCCAGUCGCGAAGGGGAGGCAAUGGGGGGAAAUUUGACAGAGCGGGGGGACGCGAGUGACGAAAGCCCCGGGGGCGGAAAGCUGGCUUGGGGGUGAAAAACCUCUUUCCAAGGAAAGAGGGGGGGCGUGACGGUAGGGAAUAAAAAAGCCCCGGCUAACUACGUG